CUAUCGGAUCGUUUUAGAAACAUCAGUGGCCAACGGUCGUCAGGAUCGUUGAGCUGCAUUGGCGGGAUUUCGCCGUCUUCGUUUCUCUUUCUUCGCGGACGAACACGCGCUGGGCCUGCAUGGUUGCAGGAUCCCGGUCCUUAACUGGAUAUGCGUUAGGGGCUUGUAGCUCAGUUGGUUAGAGCGCGCGCUUGAUAAGCGUGAGGUCGGAAGUUCAAGUCUUCCCAGGCCCACCACACUCAUCGAGUGAGCAUUCGUCUUCUGGUUACGGGGCCAUAGCUCAGCUGGGAGAGCGCGUGCUUUGCAAGCAUGAGGUCGUCGGUUCGAUCCCGUCUGGCUCCACCAGAUGGUUUGAUCACCAACAACUCAACCGUCGUCCGCGAAACAUCACUUCGCACCCACUAGUCCGGAUGGACAGUGACGUGCGUGAUUUCUGACAUCGUAAAGAGGAGAUCGAUCCGAGUUGGAUCGUGCAGAAGAUUUCUGCGCGGUACUCCAUUAUCUCCGGAUCAUUUCGGCGCUCGUGCGUCUUCCAAGGUAGCUCACAAGGUUGCAUUGAAAGACAAGCGAGUUGUAAAUGAUCCUUUUAGCGAAGCUUGACCGCCUCGCUAUCGGAACGAUCUUACGAAGCAAGCUGGUCUUUCUAAUCAUUGUCCGGCUGUACGUAGCGUUCAUCGAGGACGCGCGCCGCAAGGCAAUCGUACAGACAACAUUCUGCCGAGUGUGUGGACAUUGAUAAUGAGAG
RNAcentral lists this transfer RNA (745 nucleotides) under Bradyrhizobium sp. 13.5. RNAcentral's name for it is "partial 16S-23S ribosomal RNA intergenic spacer". The stretch from base 160 to 233 matches the Rfam family "tRNA". The record is from RNAcentral. Lineage: Bacteria; Pseudomonadati; Pseudomonadota; Alphaproteobacteria; Hyphomicrobiales; Nitrobacteraceae.